Molecule: ribosomal RNA, 930 nt
Filed under: uncultured Chlorobiota bacterium
Lineage: Bacteria; Pseudomonadati; Chlorobiota
Description: bacterial SSU rRNA
Rfam family: Bacterial small subunit ribosomal RNA
Source: RNAcentral
CAAGUCAACUGAAGCAGUGGUAGUAAUACUACUGUGGAGGUGGCGCACGGGUGAGUAACGCGUAGGUAAUCUGCCUUUGGGUCUGACAUAACUCCGAGAAAUCGAAGCUAAUAUCAGAUGAUGCAGCGGCUUGACAUCAAGACAGUUGUUAAAGCUUCGGCGCCCAGAGAUGAGCCUGCGUCCCAUUAGGUAGUUGGCGGAGUAAUAGCCCACCAAGCCUGCGAUGGGUAGCUGGUCUGAGAGGAUGAUCAGCCACACUGGAACUGAGACACGGUCCAGACUCCUACGGGAGGCAGCAGUAAGGAAUAUUGCUCAAUGGCCGAAAGGCUGAAGCAGCAACGCCGCGUGAAGGAUGAAGGCCUUUUGGUUGUAAACUUCUGUAGAGAGAGAAAAAACCUCCACUCUGUGGAGAUUGAUGGUAUCUCUAAAGUAAGCCCCGGCUAACUACGUGCCAGCAGCCGCGGUAAUACGUAGGGGGCAAACGUUGUCCGGAUUUACUGGGUGUAAAGGGUGCUCAGGUGGUUUUGUAAGUCAGAGGUGAAAUUUCGGGGCUCAACCCCGGACCUGCCUUUGAUACUGCAAAGCUUGUGUACGGAAGAGGCUGAUGGAAUUUCUGGUGUAGCAGUGAAAUGCGUAGAUAUCAGAAAGAACACCAGUGGCGAAGGCGGUCAGCUGGUCCGGUACAGACACUAAAGCACGAAAGCAUGGGGAGCAAACAGGAUUAGAUACCCUGGUAGUCCAUGCCCUAAACGAUGAAUACUAGACGUUGGGUGUAAAAACUCAGUGUCGCAGCUAACGCAUUAAGUAUUCCACCUGGGGAGUACGAUCGCAAGGUUGAAACUCAAAGGAAUUGACGGGGGCCCGCACAAGCAGUGGAGCAUGUGGUUCAAUUCGAUGCAACGCGAAGAACCUUACCUAGGCUUGAAACGC